GGGAUCAUCUGUAAACUUCAGGCACAAACAAGGCUACUUAAGGGUCUAGAUCAGGGGUCUACAAACUACAACCCUUGGGCCUAAUCUAUCCAUCCAUCUGUUUUUAUAAAUAAAGUUUUAUUGGAACACAAACACGCACAUUUGUUACAUACUGUCUAUAGCUGCUUCUGCUACAACUGCAGAGUUGAGUAGCUGCAAUUAAGACUGUAUAACCCACAAAGCCAGAAAUAUUUGCUAUCUGGGCCUUGACAGGAAAAGUUUACCAAUCCCUGGAAUAAAUGAAAAGUGUUUCUUACCACUCUGGGAGGAAACCAGGAUGGCUCUGAGGCAUCUAAAGCAGAGUGUUAGGCAUGGGCAGUAUCCUUCUCAAAAGAGGGCAUAUUGGUCCCUUUCCAGCAUCCUCAGGCUGGGCUCAGGGGCCCCAGCAUCACAGCCUGAGCAGGAGAGCCUCAACAGGGAGAUUCUGGGUAGGGACUGCUGGUGCAGGUACACUACUGCCCUUGGAAGGACCUGGGAGCACUUAGGGUGUUUCUGGGACUAUGAAGAUGAGGGCUGUUGAGCCAGGGUUUGGUAGCCUCUCCAGGGAGAAGGCAAGAGUUAAAGAAUAGG
This 609-nucleotide long non-coding RNA is filed under the name Homo sapiens (human). Its description in RNAcentral is "HSALNT0181380". Lineage: Eukaryota; Metazoa; Chordata; Mammalia; Primates; Hominidae. The record is from RNAcentral.